RNAcentral lists this ribosomal RNA (274 nucleotides) under uncultured bacterium. RNAcentral describes it as "partial 16S ribosomal RNA". It matches the Rfam family "Bacterial small subunit ribosomal RNA", at positions 523 to 796 of the family's 1533-position model. The record is from RNAcentral.
AUACGGAGGGUGCAAGCGUUAUUCGGAAUCACUGGGCGUAAAGGACGCGUAGGCGGGUUGGCAAGUCAGAUGUGAAAUCCUACAGCUUAACUGUAGAACUGCAUUUGAAACUGCUAACCUAGAGUAUGGGAGGGGGAGAUGGAAUUAGUGGUGUAGGGGUAAAAUCCGUAGAUAUCACUAGGAAUACCGAAAGCGAAGGCGAUCUCCUGGAACAUAACUGACGCUGAGGCGUGAAAUCGUGGGGAGCAAACAGGGUUAGAAACCCUAGUAGUCC